UAAAGAUCUCUUAUUAAUGGUCAGAUUUAAAGAUCUCUUAUUAAUGGUCAGGUUUAAAGAUCUCUUAUUAAUGGUCAGGUUUAAAGAUCUCCUAUUAAUGGUCAUAAACAGACGCAGUAAGAUACUAAUCUUAAGCCUAGGUGCCUCUUUUAAGCUGACACACCUGACAACAGGUAAGAGAAUCAAACACACAUUAUUCUAAUGACAUGGAGAAUAAAGCCGAUUGUUUUGGAAGCCUGAUGGAAAAAAUAGAGUCACCAUAUCUCGUCCUCUCCUAAAUCAAUAAAUCUAUGAACAUUUUCAUGCAUGUAUGGACACAGUAUGUAUUAAGAAGAAUCACAUGUCCCUCUGUGUGUGGUGGUUCUGUUAGUGGUGCUGGUGGUGGGGCAGGGGAGAGUAUACACAGGGAUUUGUGUACAUGUAUUUUAAGUUAUUCAACUGAGUGUAAAGGGACAGCAAUAGCCUCAGCAGGACUUGCUGACUUGCUUUCAUGGGGUAACUUUUUUAAUCAUUUUUUCUACGACCCUUUAAUGAAAACACAUUUUUAGUCAUGAACCUACUUACAGGUAUCGUCCAGUAAACACAUACGUAAUACACCUCAACCCUACAAGUCAGUCAAUCCCUUUUUGUGUAUGUAUUAAUCAAAUAUGGACAAAAUUAGCAUGACACUUAACGGACAGAGCAGGCAUUGACUAUACUCUUUGUUAUAUUAUUUAGAGAGACCAAACAUUAGUUCAUUGUGAAAAAGCACUCAAGAACAGUUUUUUUAAAAUGUAGAAACCUCCAGCACAUCCAUCCAGACCAUCCAGUUGCAGCCUUGGCUGUGGGCUCAUUAGCUACUCAACACUUUAAGGGAUCUCUCUACAGUCCUGCGCUGACGUACUUCUCAUUGCAAAGCUAUUGAACUGAUUUAUCUAAUCCAAGAAGCCUCUUAGAGUGCUGUGGGAUGCCAGCUUCAGUCACCACCAGUUAAUGAUGGUAAAGGUAUUAAUUUUUUUUAAAUGCAUCACAGCUAACUCUCUGUUUAUGUUCAUGUUGCAUUUCAGACUUUACUCUGUGGGAGUAUAUCUCUGUUAUGAGCCCCUAAUUCUACCUGCUCAAUCAGCAGACAGACACAGACAGAGACCAGCUGGUGAACAAGGGGCGGUCAUUUGUUCCAGAUAUUGGUGUUUCACAUUAGUUUGGUGGGAAGAAAUACAUCUCUAUCAUUGUCAUGGAUACAUUAGAGUCAGGUGACCUGAGGUAUAUUACUCUGGUAGCAUCAUAGUGAUGAAUUCAUCUUAGAGGAUUUAUGUAAAUAUCAUUUUGCCUUACAUAUGUAGAUGAAAUGAAACUUAGGUUGUGAAAUCUGUUAAACAUGGUCAGUAAAGUUUAAACUGUUUAUGAGAUGGUGUUUAAUUUAAAACCGUGUUCAAUAAAGAUUGAUUUAUUAUACA
This is a long non-coding RNA of Labrus mixtus (cuckoo wrasse), 1436 nucleotides long. RefSeq lists it as uncharacterized. The transcript has 2 exons. The record is from RefSeq and is a predicted model, not a curated record. Lineage: Eukaryota; Metazoa; Chordata; Actinopteri; Labriformes; Labridae.